GACGAACGCUGGCGGCGUGCUUAACACAUGCAAGUCGAACGGAAAGGCCUCUUUCGGGUGGUACUCGAGUGGCGAACGGGUGAGUAACACAUGAGUAACCUGCCCUUGAGUUUUGGAUAAAUUCAGGAAACUGGGGCUAAUAUCGGGUAGGGGCUCCUCCUGCAUGGGGGGGGUUGGAAAGUUUCGGCGGGUGGGGGUGGACACGCGGCUUAUCAGCUUGUUGGUGGGGUAGUGGCUUACCAAUGCUUUGGCGGGUAGCCGGCCUGAGAGGGUGACCGGGCACAUUGGGACUGAGAUUAGGCCCAGACUCCUACGGGAGGCAGCCGUGGGGGAUAAUGCACAAUGGGUAGAAGCCUGAUGCAGCAACGCCGUGUGCGGGGUGGCGGCCUUCGGGUUGGAAACCGCUUUCGCCCAUGACGAAGCUGUGUGUGACGGUAGUGGGUAAAGAAGCACCGGCUAACUACGUG
Molecule: ribosomal RNA, 467 nt
Filed under: uncultured bacterium
Lineage: Bacteria
Description: partial 16S ribosomal RNA
Rfam family: Bacterial small subunit ribosomal RNA
Source: RNAcentral